RNAcentral lists this ribosomal RNA (276 nucleotides) under Escherichia coli. RNAcentral's name for it is "partial 23S ribosomal RNA". It matches the Rfam family "Bacterial large subunit ribosomal RNA", at positions 993 to 1268 of the family's 2925-position model. Lineage: Bacteria; Pseudomonadati; Pseudomonadota; Gammaproteobacteria; Enterobacterales; Enterobacteriaceae. The record is from RNAcentral.
GGGUGCUAACGUCCGUCGUGAAGAGGGAAACAACCCAGACCGCCAGCUAAGGUCCCAAAGUCAUGGUUAAGUGGGAAACGAUGUGGGAAGGCCCAGACAGCCAGGAUGUUGGCUUAGAAGCAGCCAUCAUUUAAAGAAAGCGUAAUAGCUCACUGGUCGAGUCGGCCUGCGCGGAAGAUGUAACGGGGCUAAACCAUGCACCGAAGCUGCGGCAGCGACACUGUGUGUUGUUGGGUAGGGGAGCGUUCUGUAAGCCUGUGAAGGUGUGCUGUGAGG